Molecule: ribosomal RNA, 254 nt
Filed under: uncultured bacterium
Lineage: Bacteria
Description: partial 16S ribosomal RNA
Rfam family: Bacterial small subunit ribosomal RNA
Source: RNAcentral
UACAGAGGGUGCGAGCGUUAAUCGGAGUUACUGGGCGUAAAGGGCGCGUAGGCGGUUAUAUAAGUGAGAUGUGAAAUCCCUGGGCUUAACCUAGGAACUUGCAUCUCAUACUGUAUGACUGGAGUAUUGUAGAGGGUAGUGGAAUUUCCGGUGUAGCGGUGAAAUGCGUAGAGAUCGGAAGGAACACCAGUGGCGAAGGCGGCUACCUGGACAAAUACUGACGCUGAGGCGCGAGAGCGUGGGGAGCAAACAGG